GGUGGAGUGUCCGAGUGGCGAGGCGGGGGUCUGCAAAACCUUUUACGGUGGUUCGAAUCCACCCUCACACCU
Molecule: transfer RNA, 72 nt
Filed under: Mucilaginibacter sp.
Lineage: Bacteria; Pseudomonadati; Bacteroidota; Sphingobacteriia; Sphingobacteriales; Sphingobacteriaceae
Description: tRNA-Cys
Rfam family: tRNA
About the family: Transfer RNA (tRNA) molecules are approximately 80 nucleotides in length. Their secondary structure includes four short double-helical elements and three loops (D, anti-codon, and T loops).
Source: RNAcentral